Molecule: RNA transcript, 1708 nt
Organism: Trachymyrmex septentrionalis
Lineage: Eukaryota; Metazoa; Arthropoda; Insecta; Hymenoptera; Formicidae
Gene name: cytochrome P450 9e2-like
Exons: 3
Source: RefSeq, a predicted model, not a curated record
AUGGAAUACUGGUCGAUCUCAGUGUUAUCAAUCGUGAUUAGCGUUCUCGUCACUUAUUAUCUGUUCAGAAAGUUUAAUUUUUUUAAAAGACAUGGUAUUAUCCAUAUACCAUUUAUUCCAAUACUAAGUGUCAUGGUACUAAUUAUAUUUCGCCGAAUGUCAUUUGCCAAUUUCACCAGAAAAAUAUACAAUCUGAAUCGAGACGCAAAAUACAUUGGAUUCUACGCUACAACGAAGCCAGUUCUUAUGCUCCGUGAUCCAGAAUUGAUCAAGGAUGUUAUCGUUAAGAAUUUCGAUUCGUUUACCAAUAAUUCCAUUUUCGUUGAUGCUAAUGACUAUGUGCUUUCACAAAAUCUGUUUGGCCUACAAAACACAAAGUGGCGGCACGUAAAAAAACUACUAUCUCCGUUCUUUACGUCCAGUAAGAUGAAGACUAUGUUUUCUUUGAUGUCGAAACAUGCUGCGGAUUUUGCUGAAUUGAUGUCAACACUACCAGCUGACAAAAGCGACGUUAAUAUGAAAGAUGUCUUUGAUAGAUAUACGAAUGAUGUCAUUGCCUUAUGUAUUUACGGAAUGAAGAUCGAUUCUAUAAGAGAUCCGGCAAAUAAGUUCUAUGUUAGUGGCAAAGAUAUAACUCAUAUAUCAGCAUUACUCAUCAUAAAGUACAUUUUUAUUAGAGCCUUUCCAAAGCUCGGACGAAUACUUAAUAUAAAACUUUUAAAUAAUCAAAAAAUGAAAUAUUUUGAAAGCAGAAUAAAGAACGAGAUUGUCAUUCGCGAUGCUGAACACAUUUUACAGUCAGAUAUGAUACAAUUAAUACUGAAUAACAGAGGCAAAGAGGGUCAAAUACAAUUGGAUGUGGACGAUAUUGUCGCGCAAGCCUACGCUUUCUAUUUCGCUGGCUCUGAAACUAGUUCAAGCGUGAUGUCUUUUAUAACGUACCAAAUCGUAGCUAAUCCAAGUGUUCAGGUCAAAUUGCGACAAGAGAUAGAUGAGCUCUUGAACGAAUCGGACGGAAACGUAACUUACGAGGCUGUUAAUAAACUCAAAUAUUUAGAUGCAGUAAUAAAGGAAGCUCUCAGACUUUUUUCACCUUCUGUUAUGGAAAGAGAGUGUGGAAAAGCUUAUAAAUUGCCACCUGCAUUGCCGGGCGAGAAGUCUUUCACUAUAAACAAGGGCAUGAUUAUUUGGAUUCCGUUGAAUGCGAUUCAUCAUGAUGAAAAAUAUUAUGAUAAUCCUGAAGAAUUUCGUCCAGAAAGAUUUUUAAAUAACAAUCAUGAUCCUCCAUUUUAUUUUCCAUUUGGAUUAGGGCCGAGAAUGUGCAUUGGCAGAAGAUUCAGUUUGUUGAUGAUCAAAGUCGUGCUAUUUUAUCUACUAGCACGAUGUGAACUGAAACAAUGCGCCAAAGCUUCGUCAAUUAAAUUUAGCGAGAAAAAUCUGCUAAUGAUGCCGAAGGACGGAUUUUGGUUGAAUAUUCAACAUAGAAAUGACAAAAUUAUAAGAAUUCUCGAGAGAGAAUUACAGCAUGUAGACACAUAAAUGGCAAUGAUGGAUCCACGAGGGCCAUGGCCCUUAGAGUUUUCUUUUUUAAAAAUAUAGCAAAAGAGAUCUUUAUAAACAAAUUUGGUAUUCAGGAGGAAAAAAAUAUUAAUUUAUUCAUAAGAGCCGUUGGUUUUCUGGAGCAAUUGAUCGAUGCGGAGAUCGUAAA